RNAcentral lists this unclassified non-coding RNA (376 nucleotides) under soil metagenome. RNAcentral describes it as "partial contains 5.8S ribosomal RNA, internal transcribed spacer 2, and large subunit ribosomal RNA". The stretch from base 1 to 120 matches the Rfam family "5.8S ribosomal RNA", at positions 35 to 154 of the family's 154-position model. The record is from RNAcentral.
GAUGAAGAACGCAGCGAAAUGCGAUAAGUAAUGUGAAUUGCAGAAUUCAGUGAAUCAUCGAAUCUUUGAACGCAUCUUGCGCUCCUUGGUAUUCUGAGGAGCAUGCCUGUUUGAGUGUCAUUAAAUUCUCAACUACACUGACUUUGAAUUGGUGUGGCUUGGAUUUGGGGGGAAAAUUGUUGUGGGCUUUUUGUAUAGUCUGCUCCCCUGAAAUUGAUUAGCGGUACCUUUGUGGAACUGUCUACAGGUGUGAUAAUUAUCUACAUCUUAGACAUCUGCUGGAAUGCUGCUCUCUAAACCUUACUUGUAUUGACAAUCUUGACCUCAAAUCAGGUAGGACUACCCGCUGAACUUAAGCAUAUCAAGAAGCGGAGGA